RNAcentral lists this unclassified non-coding RNA (367 nucleotides) under Hevea brasiliensis (rubber tree). Lineage: Eukaryota; Viridiplantae; Streptophyta; Magnoliopsida; Malpighiales; Euphorbiaceae. The record is from RNAcentral.
CCCAACUUUUUUCCUUUUCAAGUCUUGCAGUUACUUUAAUCUCAUUGCUAUUCUUAAUCGGAAAAUUCUUGGCUCUCGCUCUUCUAUUUUUUCUCUGUCUUUGCUUCUUUCAACACAUACGAUUUAUAUAUAUACCCACUUCCCCCUCUUGUUGUUUUUUAUAUGUUUCUCAUGAUCUCUUAGCACAUACCCAGAAACCAGCAUAGAUCAUACAAGCAGAAGAGAGGAGAACAGAGAAGAGAAAGAGAUUAUUGGUGUGGAAAAGAUUUGAGAAGAAGGUUGGGAUUGUUUUGCUGGUUGCAAAAAAUGGCUGUACAAGCGCAGUUCCCUUUGUGCGGCUCACAGGAUUGGAUGGAGAAUGGUUGUG